GAGAUUGCACGAUUGUACUCCAGCCUGGGUAGUAAGAGCGAAACUCCAUCUCAGAAAAACAAAAAACAAAAACAAAAAAGCAAAACAACCCUUGGCUCCUCAAGCAUGUGAGCUCAGGCAGGGCCAGCCCAGCCUUAACUGUGGAGGCUGGUGGGACAGUCCCAUGGGGAAGCCCACUGCUGCGCCGCUUGGAGGAGGAAACCCAGCAUGUGAGGCUGCUCAUUGUCACGUGGUUUGCUGUGCUCUGCAGAAGGAGAUUCUGUGUUCACACCCAGGAUGUCAUGGAAGAGGAGCUCAUCCCAUUCAUCUCCCUGGCACAGGGUAGACACUUGGGGGAUGCUGCAUUAAGUGAAGUGAACCUGACUCUGUUUCUUUAGCCCCAGCCCACCCGAGUCUCAAUCUUCCCAUCUGUCAAGAGAAAUAAUAAGAUUAUUUGCCUCUAAACAGGUGGCUGAGAUCAUAGAUAGUGCAAAUGAUGUCACUGUUGGACUCUCCGGUGUUAUAUAAAUUUAAGACAUGAACAAUAAAGAAACUACCGAUAUUUACUGCUCAGACAUGCCCACGUUAAGAUUUUAAUGGCUAAAAGGCAGUUGUUUUUCCAUCUGACAUUAUGUUAUUCAACAGAGUAAGUAGUCUAAGUUGGAGGAAUCCCCUUGGGAAUUGACUACAAAGAGCAAAUAAAAAAGAGUAACAGAUCCAAGACCCUUACCCCUUAAAUUUAUUUUCACUUCCUAAAUUGAACUUCAUGCAAAAUAGGUUAUUUAUCACUAGGGUAAAAUAAGAUAAUGGGGAGGUUUAAUUAGCCAAAGCCCUGUGAUAACGCGUUUCUUCCUUACCAAAUACCCAAUGAGAAUGCAUAUCAUUAAUUCUGUGGUUAGCUAAUAAGAAAAUGAAAAAAGCUCCCUUAAUUUUUCCUUGAAAAAAUUUUUAAACUAACACAAAGAUGCCAAUGAAUGAGUAUUUUGCUUACAUCCAUUCACUCCAUCCAACUCUCAUUCAAAUGCUCAUUGUGCACCUGCUAAGGUCAGGUGCGUGCUUUCUGCCAAGCAUUCCAAGAGGAACGUCACAUAGUCUUUGCCCUCAGGAAGCGUACGGUCUGGUUGGGAAAGAGAUGCUUCCAACAAUAAUUCUGAUACCUGUGUGAUAUGGUUUGGCUGUGUCCCCACCCAAAUCUCAUCCUGAAUCCUACUCCCAUAAUUCCCACGUGUUGUGGGAUGGAACUGGUGAGAGAUAAUUGAAUCACGAGCGCGGUUUCUCCCAUACUGUUCUUGUGCUAGUGAAUAAAUCUCACGAGAUCUGAUGGUUUUAUAAACGAGAAGCCCUUUUCGCUUGACCCUCAUUAUAGCUCAUGCCGCAGCCAGGUAAGAAGUGCCUUUCGCCUUCCGCCUUCCGCCAUGACUGUUAGGCCUCCCUAGCCACGUGGAACUUUAAGUCCAUUAAACGUCUUUCUUUUAUAAAUUGCCCAGUCUUGGGUAUGUCUUUAUCAGCAGCGCGAAAACAGAUUACUAACACACUGUGGUAAAGGUGAAAUCAGUGCUCACUCCUUCGGGUGAAUUCCGUCACAUAAUCUCCACUGGGGAAGGGGUGGGCAUGGGCAGCUCCUGGGAGCUGAUGUCUUAGGGGCCCUAACACAAAAGUUCAUGCAGUUCAGCAUCCCUUCCCCUCCCAUGCCCCACAGGGCACAAACGCAUUGUUGUCCAUCACCAAAACACAUUACCCUUAGUACUCGACUCUAAUGAAGUUCCAGUUCCUCAGUUGUAUAACGAGGCUUCCAAGCUCCUAUUUUAAAAGAAAGUUUCUUGAAGCUAAAUAAAAGCACUGCUAACAUGAAAUUAACAGUGGAAAUUUUUGAGUGUAAUUUCAGGGUGAAAAAAACUGAAAAGACAAAUGUAGAUUUUAGAUAUUUCAAGGAAGGAGAGAGAGUAGUGUUGCUGGUACCAUGCCUCUGCACUUGCUAUAGCUGAGUUUCAUUUGAGUAUCCAUUAUUUGGAAGGAGUUCUUAAAUCUAAGCCUGUGGAAGACAAUAAAUUCACAUUAAUUAUCUCUCCAUUUGACUCAAUUUCUGAAGAAGUUCUAUCCUUCUGAUGAACUAUCAGAUUAAAUCCCAGAUUCCUCAGUAUGAUGUCCCUGAAUACCAAUAUAAAGAAUAAAGGAAGAGAUCAAAACCUGGAUGAAUAAUCUGUAUAAACAUGGGCAUAUACACAAGGUAUGACUAUAAUAUUGAGACUCAUCCUAUAAAGCACCUACAAAAGUUGAUUGUAUUAUUUUAUACUUAUGCUUGUGCACAUAAAAAAUAUUUGGCAGGCUAAAGGCCAAAGAACCAGGCACUGUUCUCAAAAGGACAUAGCAGAUUAACUACACCUCUAUUUGUCCUUCUAUACUCAAGGCUACUUACUGUAGUUGGGUUGACCAGGCAGAGUUUAAAUCAAUAUAUGUUGGUUGAGCCUGGAUCUUAGAUGAGAAAUUCACACUAACGUGAAAUUCACACAGACAUAUGUGGAAACACUAAAAACAUUUUCUUUUACUUCAUCCACCAGUGACUUUAAUGAAAGCAGAGCAUAAUAAUUAAUACAAGUAAUUAGAGUUGACAACUGAAGUGUCAAGAAAACCACAGUUCAUCUGUUAUCCGUCCAUCUCUGUUGAAAUAUUAGUUUACUGCCAUAUAUUAAUCUAUUUAUAAAGAGAUCCAGACAAUUAGAAAAAUUAGUCUGGAAUCACCAGGCUGAAGGCUUAGCUGAAGUUAAAAGACAAGUAAAAAUGCCUCCAAACUGUAAAACCUGAGUUGGGGAAUAAAUGGUAAAAUGUGUAAAAAUUUAGAAAAAGGUUAUAUGUGGACUGUAAAAAAUACACUGGACUCACAGGUAAUUAAGGGGUGAAUCAGAGUUGUUUCCUAAAUGGCAUAAGCCAAACUCUUAGAUAUUUCUACCAUUAGCUAAAAGGCAGAGAAGCACUCUCUCUCUCUAUUAAUGCACUUUUAAAAAUGAAAAUUGUGAAGUGUUCUGCCCUUAAAGUGGACCUUUAUUUCAGGUCUGCAUUACUUUGCUUAAUAGAUAUGGUCCUAAAGAUUAAGGUGGUGAUCCAUUUUAUCUUGUAAAAAUGCAUAAUUUAAUCUGAGUUAUAGGAAUUUAAAGCUGCCCUACUUUGAAGGCCUUUGUGACUCAAAGAUUUUUUUAAUUUAAUUUUUAAAUUGAGAAUUACCUGGCUUGGGCUUUUGGUCUUUUUAUAAUACGUAUUGCUGUCUACUUUUUUUUUUAUUCUUGGCUGCCUCAAGCUAUUCUUGCCUCCAAAAGGUGUCAGCAUAUGAAUAAAAACAGCAGAAAAUAAUUACCCUAAUUAGGUCAAUGUAUUAAGCUGUUUCUACAACUGUUUCUCUUAAACACCUUAUCUUUGUAGUCUUGGCUCAUUAGAAAUUCGACUAGUGGUAAGUAUUUAUUUUUUUCCUUCAAGGGGGUUUUUGCUUUGCUAAGCCUCGGGCAUUUGGUUCGUGCAAGAAAUCACAGAAACUGCUCCAGCGGACUCCGAAAGGAGCGGAAAAUUCUUUUGUUUGGGGGCCAUGAGGGGUGGGGGAGGGGUGGGGAUUCUGGUGUAAGCUUUUGGCUUGCAUUCGCUUUCUCCCUCCGAAAGUGGGCGACAUCAAGCAAGUCCCAGUUACAGAAAGAACCCACUGCAGGGCGUCCAGUCACUUGCCCAGUGAAAAGACUGUAAUCAGACAACUUUAAUAAAGGGAGAGCAGGAGAGUGGUGACGAAUUUCCACAUUCCGAACAAGCUUGUCGAAAGAGGAGUGCAGGGAAGGAGCAAGAAUGAGGCACUGGAAGACGGUGAGCGGGGCCUUGCCACAGAAUCCCGGGCCCACCUGCUUUCUCACAGUCGCGACAGCCGGCCCGGAGAAGGGCAGCCCAGCGAAGGGCACGCCCCGCGCGGGUGCCAGGGAGGCCGGCAGGGGCGUCCGCGGUCGCUGCUCACCUGCGCUCCCCGCUGCCCGGCCCAGCCCGCCUCGCCACCGAGUCUGGAAGCCCACACUCACCCCUUUACCCGGGAAACGCGGCCGGAGCCGGCGGCGGGUCGGGAGUCCGAGAUGGUAGAUCCCCCUCCAGGCGCCUCGCUGACAUUUUGUCCCGGACGGAAAACCUCCGCGCGUGCCCCUUAAAGACACAGCGCUGCAUUCACACGUCUGCGGGGAAAGGGGGGCCGUCACGUGUGGCCUUCGCCCGAAAGCGGUAGGGGAGUCGCUCUGAAACCGCCAAGGAUCGCGAGCGACAGAUUUGUGUUGGCCAGGGUUUUAAGAUGACGCAAUAGCUGAGUGUGGUUGAAAUGCUGUAGGCGCAUGAUGUCACAAGUUAUUGGAAGAAAUCCCUCCAACCUAGGUUGGGACAGAUGAAGGCGGCGCUUAUUGGUGUUCACCAAAACACCAGCAUGGUGUACCAGCUUUGGCUAGAUGAUGCUCAGACGGGCCUGUCUAAUUGCAGGAAAACAAACUCAGGGCUCCCACUGAUUCUACAUUACGAUAAAUACCUGGAGUGGGAUUGCUAGAUCACAUGGAAAACACAGAUCCUGGUGCCGAACAUGAGGACAGGGCAGGCCGAAGGAGAAAGUGGAAGGAGGGGAGCUUCUCUCUCAGCCUCAUCCUUCUGGGCCUGGAUGCUGGAGAGUCAUGAGGUGCUUCAGAGUACUCUGGGUGAGGAGGGAAAGAUGGUGCCCACCACAUGGAGGCCAGCCUAGGUCUUGUAUGAAACCUGUGAGCUAGCUGAAAGCAGAGAACCCAGCAGAGGAUUCUGGGAAGGUCCUGGGGGAUGGCAGAGCCAGCAGAGAGAGGGUAUGGAUCCACCAGGCAUAGGAUGGAACAGAGCACUAUUGACCACAGUGAACUGGGGCAUGGGCAAUCAAUAAACACAUAUUAGAUUAAGCUAUUGAGACUCAGGGAUUUUUAUACAACUGACAUUCCCUAAGAAGCCAUGAUCUUCCUGUCUCAGGAGGUGCAUAAGCAGUGGUUGAAUGUUCAACAGUCAAGAAUGUUAUAAAAAGAGGUUCUUGGGAGAGUGGACCUGAUGGCCAGCAAAAAUCAUAGCUCACAUUUAUUGAGUUAUUAUGGCUCAGGCAUGUGCACAUAUUCUUUUAUUUAAAUCUACAAUAUGCUUUAUCAUGCUCAUUUUAUACAUGAGGAACACAAGGCAUGGAGAGGUUAGAUAACAUGCCUAAGAUCAUGAAGCAAGCAAGGGGGAGAAAAGAUACCCUUCUCACUCCUUCCAGACAGCUCACUUCACCACCACUCCCCACUGUCUCUAAAGCAAAAGUUAUUUGAAGGCUUAGGGACUGGUUUGGUAUUAUCCAUGCAGGGCGGUUUGUUUUGUUUUUCUUUUAAAAUUUCAGCCUAUGCUUAAAAGAUUUCAUGUAAAAAUUCUGUUUUCUAGUUUCUCUUGAAAAUUAAGAAGAUCUGGUAAAACUGGGCUUGAAGACCAUUAUGGUAACAGGCUGCUGAAGCUGAGGAGAGGGCCCCUUCAGAUGGGCAUAAGCACUGCUCCCCCUCCCCAACCCCCCUUUUAGGUUACUAUCAGACUCUGGAAGCUUCUGAAUGUGUGAACCCUGAAAGAGUCCAUCUAAAGCUAAGUUCUCCCCAGGGGUAGAGCCCAAUGCUGGGCAUACAGUAGGG
RNAcentral lists this long non-coding RNA (5648 nucleotides) under Homo sapiens (human). Its description in RNAcentral is "HSALNT0089940". The record is from RNAcentral. Lineage: Eukaryota; Metazoa; Chordata; Mammalia; Primates; Hominidae.